GCCUGGUUGGCUAAGCUGGUUAUAGCGUCAGUCUCAUAAUCUGAAGGUCAGCGGUUCGAUCCCGCUACCGGGCA
This is a transfer RNA of Lichtheimia corymbifera, 74 nucleotides long. It matches the Rfam family "tRNA". From Rfam's summary of the family: Transfer RNA (tRNA) molecules are approximately 80 nucleotides in length. Their secondary structure includes four short double-helical elements and three loops (D, anti-codon, and T loops). Further hydrogen bonds mediate the characteristic L-shaped molecular structure. tRNAs have two regions of fundamental functional importance: the anti-codon, which is responsible for specific mRNA codon recognition, and the 3' end, to which the tRNAs corresponding amino acid is attached (by aminoacyl-tRNA synthetases). tRNAs cope with the degeneracy of the genetic code in two manners: having more than one tRNA (with a specific anti-codon) for a particular amino acid; and 'wobble' base-pairing, i.e. permitting non-standard base-pairing at the 3rd anti-codon position. Lineage: Eukaryota; Fungi; Mucoromycota; Mucoromycetes; Mucorales; Lichtheimiaceae. The record is from Rfam.